UUUGUACAUUAAAAUUGCGUCAUGAUGUAGGUUUGGUCCGAGUAUCACCAACAUUGGCAGUAAGCGAUCAUGUAUGUCUUCUAAUUUAUGAAACGGCUGCGGAGCCAAUGGACUCUUCAUAGGAGCUACUUUCCUUCCAGGCCAAGAAAGAACUGUAAGCUGUCAGACUUUCAUCACUCUGUUGUUGAAAGAAGAAGGAUAUCUUUGAUGGUACAAAAAAAAAAUCAUGAAUAAUUUUGUUACUCACUUCCUGUAGGCUGGCUCUAUAAUUGACUGAAUCAUUCUGCACAAUGCCAAUGCAAUAGGGCGUUGGUCGGUGAAACAAUGAUCUGGUAGACGACUGAAUAAAUUCUGAGCAAUUUCCCAUGCACCGACUUCUAACAAUGCCUCACAAAGUCCGAAUUUCUGAUUGGUACUAUAUUUGUCCUAAGCAAGAAAUGAUAAAAAUCAUUAAAUUCAACUAUAUGUA
Athalia rosae (coleseed sawfly) is the source of this 469-nucleotide long non-coding RNA. RefSeq lists it as uncharacterized. The record is from RefSeq and is a predicted model, not a curated record. Lineage: Eukaryota; Metazoa; Arthropoda; Insecta; Hymenoptera; Athaliidae. The transcript is spliced from 2 exons.